RNAcentral lists this ribosomal RNA (623 nucleotides) under uncultured fungus. RNAcentral describes it as "eukaryotic LSU rRNA". It matches the Rfam family "Eukaryotic large subunit ribosomal RNA", at positions 40 to 647 of the family's 3401-position model. Lineage: Eukaryota; Fungi. The record is from RNAcentral.
AUAUCAAUAAGCGGAGGAAAAGAAACUAACAAGGAUUCCCCUAGUAACUGCGAGUGAAGCGGGAAAAGCUCAAAUUUAAAAUCUGGCAGUCUUUGGCUGUCCGAGUUGUAAUCUAGAGAAGUGCUAUCCGCGCUGGACCGUGUACAAGUCUCCUGGAAUGGAGCGUCAUAGAGGGUGAGAAUCCCGUCUUUGACACGGACUGCCAGGGCUUUGUGAUGUGCUCUCAAAGAGUCGAGUUGUUUGGGAAUGCAGCUCAAAAUGGGUGGUAAAUUCCAUCUAAAGCUAAAUAUUGGCGAGAGACCGAUAGCGAACAAGUACCGUGAGGGAAAGAUGAAAAGAACUUUGGAAAGAGAGUUAAACAGUACGUGAAAUUGCUGAAAGGGAAACGCUUGAAGUCAGUCGCGUUGUCCAGGGAUCAACCUUGCUUUUGCUUGGUGCACUUUCUGGUUGACGGGUCAGCAUCAAUUUUGACCAUUGGAAAAAGAUUAGGGGAAUGUGACAUCUUAGGAUGUGUUAUAGCCCUUGGUUGCAUACAAUGGUUGGGAUUGAGGAAUUCAGCACGCCGCAAGGCCGGGUUUUAACCACGUACGUGCUUAGGAUGCUGGCAUAAUGGCUUUAAUCGA